AUACGGAGGAUGCGAGCGUUAUCCGGAUUCAUUGGGUUUAAAGGGUGCGUAGGCGGAAUAAUAAGUCAGGGGUGAAAGUUUUCGGCUCAACCGUAAAAUUGCCUUUGAUACUGUUAUUCUUGAGUACACGCGAGGUAUGCGGAAUGUGAUGUGUAGCGGUGAAAUGCUUAGAUAUAUCACAGAACACCGAUUGCGAAGGCAGCAUACUAGAGUGUCACUGACGCUGAUGCACGAAAGCGUGGGUAUCGAACAGGAUUAGAAACCCCGGUAGUCC
This 274-nucleotide ribosomal RNA is filed under the name uncultured bacterium. Its description in RNAcentral is "partial 16S ribosomal RNA". It matches the Rfam family "Bacterial small subunit ribosomal RNA", at positions 523 to 796 of the family's 1533-position model. The record is from RNAcentral.